UACGUAGGGUGCAAGCGUUGUCCCGGAAUUAUUGGGCGUAAAGAGCUCGUAGGCGGUCUGUCACGUCGGCUGUGAAAACCCGGGGCUCAACCCCGGGCCUGCAGUCGAUACGGGCAGACUAGAGUGCGGUAGGGGAGACUGGAAUUCCUGGUGUAGCGGUGAAAUGCGCAGAUAUCAGGAGGAACACCGGUGGCGAAGGCGGGUCUCUGGGCCGUAACUGACGCUGAGGAGCGAAAGCGUGGGGAGCGAACAGG
RNAcentral lists this ribosomal RNA (254 nucleotides) under uncultured bacterium. RNAcentral describes it as "partial 16S ribosomal RNA". It matches the Rfam family "Bacterial small subunit ribosomal RNA", at positions 524 to 776 of the family's 1533-position model. The record is from RNAcentral.